ACGGGGGGGGCAAGCGUUGUUCGGAAUUACUGGGCGUAAAGGGCGCGUAGGCGGCCUGCUAAGUCGGAUGUGAAAUCCCUCGGCUCAACCGAGGAACUGCAUCCGAUACUGGCGGGCUUGAAUCCGGGAGAGGGAUGUGGAAUUCCAGGUGUAGCGGUGAAAUGCGUAAAUAUCUGGAGGAACACCGGUGGCGAAGGCGGCAUCCUGGACCGGUAUUGACGCUGAGGCGCGAAAGCUAGGGGAGCAAACGGGAUUAGAUACCCCGGUAGUCCUAGCCCUAAACGAUGAGUGCUUGGUGUGGCGGGUAUCGAUCCCUGCCGUGCCGAAGCUAACGCAUUAAGCACUCCGCCUGGGGAGUACGGUCGCAAGGCUG
RNAcentral lists this ribosomal RNA (373 nucleotides) under uncultured organism. Its description in RNAcentral is "bacterial SSU rRNA". It matches the Rfam family "Bacterial small subunit ribosomal RNA", at positions 525 to 896 of the family's 1533-position model. The record is from RNAcentral.